RNAcentral lists this ribosomal RNA (873 nucleotides) under uncultured fungus. RNAcentral describes it as "eukaryotic LSU rRNA". The stretch from base 618 to 873 matches the Rfam family "Eukaryotic large subunit ribosomal RNA", at positions 1 to 249 of the family's 3401-position model. The record is from RNAcentral. Lineage: Eukaryota; Fungi.
GGAAGGAUCAUUACUGAAUUGUCAACAUGGGCUGUUGCUGGUCUCCAAACGGGGAUAUAUGUGCACGCUCUGUUCACACAUCCACUCACACCUGUGCACCCUCCGUAGUACUGUGGCUUGGGGGCUCUGUCCUCCUGCUGUGGUUCUAUGUCUUUACCUACACACACGCUGUAAAAAAGUCUUAUGGAAUGUAUACCGCGUUCGACGCAAUACAAAUACAACUUUCAGCAACGGAUCUCUUGGCUCUCGCAUCGAUGAAGAACGCAGCGAAAUGCGAUAAGUAAUGUGAAUUGCAGAAUUCAGUGAAUCAUCGAAUCUUUGAACGCACCUUGCGCCCUUUGGCCAUUCCGAAGGGCAUGCCUGUUUGAGUAUCAUGAAUACCUCAACUCCUCAUGGCUUGCCAUGACGAGCUUGGACUUUUGGGGGUCUUGCUGGUCUUUGGUGUCAGCUCCUCUCAAAUGAAUCAGCUUCCCGGUGUUUGGUGGCAACGUAGGCGUGAUAACUAUCUGCGCUUGCGGUUUUCCAUCAGAUCGCCUCCAGAGAUAUGGAGGUUCGCUGGAGCUCACAAACGUGUGUUCUCCUCCCCUCUCCUGAGUGAGGAUGGCACUUUGAAUGUUUGAUCUCAAAUCAGGUAGGACUACCCGCUGAACUUAAGCAUAUCAAUAAGCGGAGGAAAAGAAACUAACAAGGAUUCCCCUAGUAACUGCGAGUGAAGCGGGAAGAGCUCAAAUUUAAAAUCUGGCGCGCCUCUGGCCGUCCGAGUUGUAGUCUGGAGAAGCGUUUUCCGUGUUGGACCGUGUAUAAGUCUCUUGGAACAGGGCGUCAUAGAGGGUGAGAAUCCCGUCUUUGACACGGACUGCCAAUGCUUUGUGA